CAGCCGCCGCGGUAAUACCGGCGGCCCGAGUGGCGGUCACUAUUAUUGGGCUUAAAGCGUCCGUAGCCGGGUUGGGAAGUCCUCCGGGGAAUCUGGCCGCUUAACGGUCAGAAUGCCGGAGGAUACUCCCAGCCUAGGGAGCGGGAGAGGCCGAGGGGAUUCCCGGAGGAGGGGGGAAAUCCUAUAAUCCCGGGAGGACCACCUGUGGCGAAGGCGCUCGGCUGGAACGCGUCCGACGGUGAGGGACGAAGGCCAGGGGAGCAAACCGGAUUAGAUACCCGGGUAGUCCUGGCUGUAAACGAUGCGGACUUUGUGUCGGACAAGCUAUGAGCUUGUCCGGUGCCGGAGGGAAACCGUUAAGUCCGCCGCCUGGGGAGUACGGCCGCAAGGCUGAAACUUAAAGGAAUUGGCGGG
Molecule: ribosomal RNA, 414 nt
Filed under: uncultured microorganism
Description: bacterial SSU rRNA
Rfam family: Archaeal small subunit ribosomal RNA
Source: RNAcentral